RNAcentral lists this transfer RNA (72 nucleotides) under Aedes aegypti (yellow fever mosquito). It matches the Rfam family "tRNA". Rfam says of the family: Transfer RNA (tRNA) molecules are approximately 80 nucleotides in length. Lineage: Eukaryota; Metazoa; Arthropoda; Insecta; Diptera; Culicidae. The record is from Rfam by way of RNAcentral.
GGCUCAGUAGUUUAGUUGAUAAAGUAUUCGUCUAACAUACAAGAGUCGUGAGUUCGAUUCCCACCCGAGCAA